CUGGACUUAAUGGGACAACGAGUAUCUUAUUCAAAGGCUGUUGGGCAAAUUACACUGACCUCUCCAUCAACACAAACGGUACCAGCUACAAACUAGUAUUCGAACUGAGAUCGAUUAAAACUUAUUCUGGCACCUUCUCUGUG
Non-coding RNA from Chiloscyllium plagiosum (whitespotted bambooshark), 143 nucleotides. NCBI's taxonomy places the organism in Eukaryota, Metazoa, Chordata, Chondrichthyes, Orectolobiformes, Hemiscylliidae. The record is from RefSeq and is a predicted model, not a curated record.